UACAGGGGGGGCAAGCGUUGUUCGGAAUUACUGGGCGUAAAGGGUCUGUAGGUGGCUUGCUAAGUCAGACGUGAAAUCCCUCAGCUUAACUGGGGAACUGCGUUUGAUACUGGCGAGCUUGAGUGCAGGAGAGGAACGCGGAAUUCCAGGUGUAGCGGUGAAAUGCGUAGAUAUCUGGAGGAACACCGGUGGCGAAGGCGGCGUUCUGGACUGCAACUGACACUGAGAGACGAAAGCCAGGGGAGCAAACGGG
RNAcentral lists this ribosomal RNA (253 nucleotides) under uncultured bacterium. RNAcentral's name for it is "partial 16S ribosomal RNA". It matches the Rfam family "Bacterial small subunit ribosomal RNA", at positions 524 to 776 of the family's 1533-position model. The record is from RNAcentral.